Molecule: long non-coding RNA, 909 nt
Filed under: Cyanistes caeruleus (blue tit)
Lineage: Eukaryota; Metazoa; Chordata; Aves; Passeriformes; Paridae
Description: lncRNA (ENSCCEG00000024024.1)
Source: RNAcentral
GUGAUGUUAGGAAGCACCUACCUUCCCUGGAGCCAUGGGCUCAGGUCUCAGCACAGCUGACUCGUGUUGGCUGAUGCUGCUUUGACCUCCACGUGCUCUGAGAGGGCUCAGGGCUGGACAACGAGGGGCAGCCCAGGCUCACCCCACGGACUGUCCCUGAGCAAGGCAUCCCCCUGUCCCUUGCACACUGGCACGCCCUGGUCAGCACCUGUGGGGCUGUGCUCUUGCCUUCCCCCAUCUCGCCGCUCCAUCACCUGGAGGUGAUAAGGGAGCAGAGCGUGGGCACUUCCUGGGCGUGGGCAGAUCUGUUGGGCUUGGUCUUUUCAUGCAGGUGCUAGAGGGGAGAUUCUUGUCUUCUUUGGAGCAUGGAGUAGCUGGAGGCACAAACCAACCACUUGUGUGGGGAAGAGUGGGGGAUGAUCUUUCACACAGGCCCUUCAGAUGGGAUGUCCUCUUGCUGUGGAAACAUGUCACAAAUCACUUGUUUGCUGGAGAGCACAGAAUCAUAUCACAAAAUCCUCUGGGUAACAAAGCCUUGCAGCUCCAUCUGAAGCAGGAAAAAUGAGGAGGUUACAGGAGGACACAGCAGAGCCAAAGCAGGUCACUGGAUGAGUCAUUCACACUCAGGUAUUCACAGCUACCAUUUCCUGGUUCCCAUCACCAGACAACACUUGUCUUAGCACAUUAUUCCCAGGUUUCUAAGAUUUUAUGUUAAAAGCCGGAGUGCAGGCUUUGGAUGAUCACAGACCAGCAAUCGUGCUCUCCAAGACAGAGAUUCACACAAUCACCCAGGAAACUCCACUGGACAACUUCCACCUGCAUGGCCUUUCCUUGGUAUCCAUCUCAGCCUGACAUGACAUGAUGUUAAAUGAGAUCAGGAUAACAGCAGCCAUGGGAGGUCAAGAAAUU